AAUAAGGAUCUCAAUUUGAACUUGAU
RNAcentral lists this non-coding RNA (26 nucleotides) under Cricetulus griseus (Chinese hamster). The record is from RNAcentral. Lineage: Eukaryota; Metazoa; Chordata; Mammalia; Rodentia; Cricetidae.